This 46-nucleotide non-coding RNA is filed under the name Trypanosoma brucei brucei. The record is from RNAcentral. Lineage: Eukaryota; Euglenozoa; Kinetoplastea; Trypanosomatida; Trypanosomatidae.
AUCAUAUAUACAACGACGAUACUCAGUGAAUUUUCAGUGAUAUAAU